This 281-nucleotide long non-coding RNA is filed under the name Gossypium raimondii (Peruvian cotton). RNAcentral describes it as "long non-coding RNA (GRAI_LNC000425)". The record is from RNAcentral. Lineage: Eukaryota; Viridiplantae; Streptophyta; Magnoliopsida; Malvales; Malvaceae.
AAAAAGAGAAAAUUGUUAGAGAAAGGGAACUUUGGAGAAAAAGAAAAAGACUGGAGGAAGAAAUUCAAGUCAAAAUUUCUAAAGGAGAGAGAAACGAAAUUUGGAAACAAAAAUAAAAUAAAAUAAAAAUUACUUAAAAAUCAAAUAACCAACAUAUCUCAACUCCCCACUAACAUCUCAAUCACAACCACCUUAGAAUCCCAACUCCACUGAAACUCUCUCAGACAACUAAGCAAAAAUUAAUACCUUCGCUCAUGCAGGGAUUGGAACACAGAACCCCC